Molecule: long non-coding RNA, 1345 nt
Organism: Mizuhopecten yessoensis (Yesso scallop)
Lineage: Eukaryota; Metazoa; Mollusca; Bivalvia; Pectinida; Pectinidae
Exons: 6
Source: RefSeq, a predicted model, not a curated record
AUACAAUUUGCCUAUACACCGCCACAGCGUUACACCAUCACCAUAAAUAAGACUGUAAACAUUAGCUGGACGUUUGUCACUGUGUGCCUCAGAGAUCUAUCAGCAUGGUCGUAAAAGUACACGUGGAGUAUUGUGGUGCAUGAGGGUACGCCCCCAAAUUUCAGAAGUUGAAGAAUCAGCUUCAGAAGAAAUUUGGAAAUGGCGUCACUAUGGACCACUAUGCCACACCAAAUGUAACAGGAUUCUUUGAAGUUUCUGUAAACGACAAACUUAUCCACAGUAAGAAGAAUAGUGAUGGCUAUGUUGACACUGAUGCCAAAUUGGAUAAGAUCGUGAAGGCUGUUGAGGCAGCCUCUUGAUGUAGGAAAGUGGCCACAGGUCAAGGAUCGCACUGAAGAACUUGGAGGUAUCAGGAGGAGGCGCUUACAAUGACGGAACAAGAUGCAAACCCUCUUUGUCUUGUACCAGAUGACCCUUAGUGUAGCCUUGUGAUGACCUCUGACUUUGUCGGCUGUGACCUUGGAUCAGUGGCAAUGUGUUUCUCUACAAACUUGUAAUGUGCACUAACUUAUACUUAAUGGGUUGUUUUUAUUGCUAUCAUGGUCGUCAAUAAUAUUAUUUACAUGAAGUUGUCCAGUUACGUGAUUCAUUGUAAAAUUACUGUGACUGUACAAUUUUUACCUUCUUUCCUUUUGAAACCAAUUUGCCCUCUUGUCGAUGCUAAAAAAUAAAACCACAAAAAAGCUUUCUGAUUUUACUGUUUGCUACUAAGUUAAGUAAAAAUAUUUGUAAGAAUGUUAAUUGAGUCCCAAAUAAAGACAAAAAACGCCUAAAAAUAAAUUAAUGCAAUUUUUGAGAAUCUCAGUUACAAUAUCAUAAAUGUUAUACUAUCUUCAAUAAUUUGUAUGUAUCUUGCUUGUGAUCAAAUUUUACAUUUUGAAAUGAAUCCUGUUUUGCAGCAGAAAUUAAUAUGUAAGACCAUGAAAAUAGAUUUAGUCACACUCCAUGGUGAGACACUAGCUCUUUAACAGGGUAAGGUGAGAGUUUAAUUCUACCUCAAAUGGGUUCUUUCAAUUGUUUUCUUCCUGUACAUCUUAUAAAAUGCUCUUGAUCUCUUUUAUGACAUUUGUAUGUACAAUUAACAUGUAAUGUUUACUUGACAUCAACAUGAAGAAUGUUUUACAAAGUUUACAGAGAUAAGGACAAGCAUUGUACACAUUAGUAAAUAUAUCAUACACAGGUUUAAUAAUAACAACAAUGUCAACGCAGUGUUAAUAUUAUUUGAGAAUCGAUUUUAUGUCAGAAACAAAUGAUAAUGACAAUAAACCAUCUUUUUCAAAACAAA